AAAGAGUAAAAAGGCAUAAGCAUCUGUAGCCGCGACAGGGUGCCGCGACAGAGCUAGAGAGAGAGAUAGCGAUGGGAGUGGAGAAGCAAGUCAUCAGACCCGGCACCGGACCCAAACCCACUCCGGGUCAAACAGUCACCGUCCACUGUACCGGAUUCGGGAAAGGUGGUGAUCUAUCCCAGCAGUUCUGGAGGAUGGGAUGAAGGCGUUAUGGGGAUGCAAAUUGGAGAGGUUGCUCGCUUGCGGUGCUCACCGGAUUACGCGUAUGGUGCUGGUGGAUUUCCAGCAUGGGGAAUCCAACCUAACUCGGUUCUUGACUUUGAAAUCGAAGUACUCAGCGUGAAGUGAUGAUGAUGAUCUCUCUAGCUCAAAAAAAAAAAACAGUUGGAAUGUUAUUGAUCUAUAAAAAAAAGCACAGCAAAACUUGAAUGCUAAGUUAUUAAGCUUCUAGCCUUUUGUCUUCAUUGCUUCUGGGAAACAAAACUUUGUGAUUGUCACACUUCUCAAUGUUAUUCUAAAUCUCCAUCCACAACAUUUUUAUCAUAAAUAGUAGACCCGUCUCUUGUUUCAA
Molecule: long non-coding RNA, 571 nt
Organism: Brassica napus (rape)
Lineage: Eukaryota; Viridiplantae; Streptophyta; Magnoliopsida; Brassicales; Brassicaceae
Exons: 4
Source: RefSeq, a predicted model, not a curated record